Molecule: ribosomal RNA, 250 nt
Filed under: uncultured bacterium
Lineage: Bacteria
Description: partial 16S ribosomal RNA
Rfam family: Bacterial small subunit ribosomal RNA
Source: RNAcentral
UACGGGGGGGCAAGCGUUGUUCGGAAUUACUGGGCGUAAAGGGCUCGUAGGCGGCCAACUAAGUCAUACGUGAAAUCCCUCGGCUUAACCGGGGAACUGCGUCUGAUACUGGAUGGCUUGAGUUCGGGAGAGGGAUGCGGAAUUCCAGGUGUAGCGGUGAAAUGCGUAGAGAUCAGCAGGAACACCCUGGCGAAGGCGGCCCCUGGGCCGUACCUGACGCUGAGGCGCGAAGGCUAGGGGAGCGAACGGG